RNAcentral lists this ribosomal RNA (433 nucleotides) under uncultured bacterium. RNAcentral describes it as "partial 16S ribosomal RNA". It matches the Rfam family "Bacterial small subunit ribosomal RNA", at positions 29 to 507 of the family's 1533-position model. The record is from RNAcentral.
AACGAACGCUGGCGGCAUGCCUAACACAUGCAAGUCGAACGAGACCUUCGGGUCUAGUGGCGCACGGGUGCGUAACGCGUGGGAACCUGCCCUUAGGUUCGGAAUAACUCCCCGAAAGGGGUGCUAAUACCGGAUAAUGUCUUCGGACCAACGAUUUAUCGCCUUUGGGUGGGCCCGCGUUGGAUUAGCUAGUUGGUAGGGUAAAAGCCUACCAAGGCGACGAUCCAUAGCUGGUCUGAGAGGAUGAUCCGCCACACUGGGACUGAGACACGGCCCAGACUCCUACGGGAGGCAGCGGUGGGGAAUAUUGUACAAUGGGCGAAAGCCUGAUCCAGCAAUGCCGCGUGAGUGAUGAAGGCCUUAGGGUUGUAAAGCUCUUUUACCCGGGAUGAUAAUGACAGUACCGGGAGAAUAAGCUCCGGCUAACUCCGUG